AUUGAACGCUGGCGGCAUGCCUUACACAUGCAAGUCGAACGGCAGCACGGGGGCAACCCUGGUGGCGAGUGGCGAACGGGUGAGUAAUAUAUCGGAACGUACCCUGGAGUGGGGGAUAACGUAGCGAAAGUUACGCUAAUACCGCAUACGAUCUAAGGAUGAAAGUGGGGGAUCGCAAGACCUCAUGCUCCUGGAGCGGCCGAUAUCUGAUUAGCUAGUUGGUGGGGUAAAGGCCUACCAAGGCAUCGAUCAGUAGCUGGUCUGAGAGGACGACCAGCCACACUGGGACUGAGACACGGCCCAGACUCCUACGGGAGGCAGCAGUGGGGAAUUUUGGACAAUGGGGGGCAACCCUGAUCCAGCAAUGCCGCGUGAGUGAAGAAGGCCUCGG
This 391-nucleotide ribosomal RNA is filed under the name uncultured bacterium. RNAcentral describes it as "bacterial SSU rRNA". It matches the Rfam family "Bacterial small subunit ribosomal RNA", at positions 30 to 420 of the family's 1533-position model. The record is from RNAcentral.